Molecule: ribosomal RNA, 484 nt
Filed under: uncultured bacterium
Lineage: Bacteria
Description: partial 16S ribosomal RNA
Rfam family: Bacterial small subunit ribosomal RNA
Source: RNAcentral
AUUGAACGCUGGCGGCAGGCCUAACACAUGCAAGUCGAGCGGAUGAAGGGAGCUUGCUCCUGGAUUCAGCGGCGGACGGGUGAGUAAUGCCUAGGAAUCUGCCUGGUAGUGGGGGAUAACGUCCGGAAACGGGCGCUAAUACCGCAUACGUCCUGAGGGAGAAAGUGGGGGAUCUUCGGACCUCACGCUAUCAGAUGAGCCUAGGUCGGAUUAGCUAGUUGGUGGGGUAAAGGCCUACCAAGGCGACGAUCCGUAACUGGUCUGAGAGGAUGAUCAGUCACACUGGAACUGAGACACGGUCCAGACUCCUACGGGAGGCAGCAGUGGGGAAUAUUGGACAAUGGGCGAAAGCCUGAUCCAGCCAUGCCGCGUGUGUGAAGAAGGUCUUCGGAUUGUAAAGCACUUUUAGUUGGGAGGAAGGGAAGUAAGUUAAUACCUUGCUGUUUUGACGUUACCAACAGAAUAAGCACCGGCUAACUUCGUG